CUCAGCAUCUCGACUGGAUCACGGAGGUGGCCAAUCAUAAGCGGGCUUCUGGCUGCCCAUAGCUAAUCAGGAUUGAAAGAGGCGAGUGCCUGGAAAUGGGACGAUCGGCAAGGUAUGUGAACAGCUGAAGGAGCAAGAAGAAUAAUUUCAGCACAGUGCUAUGGUUACUGGACCGACAACACAGCUGGAUGUGAGGCUGUCUGGUCGAGGACGGGAGGAGGGGGCUGAGACCCAUCUCAGGACCUGGACUUGGAUGAAGUGUGCCAGGAAGGGUGUCCAGCAUGGCUUGCCACGCAGUCCCAUAUCUGCACCCGGGAUCUGAACCGGUGAACCCUAGGCUGCCGAAGCAGAACAUGCGAACUUUAAGCAGAACAUGUGAGUUUAACCGCUGCGCCACCAGACCGGCCCCAGUGGUAUUUUUCUUCCAUUGACACAUUCUUAUGAAAAAACUGCAUGUCAGAGGUAGAGAAACUAGAAAAUGUAUUUAAAAUAGGGAGUAUCAACCACUUGGAAAAUCACUGCUAACAUUUUGGUGCAUAUCCUUGCCAGCGGCUAAUUUUAAUAUUCACACAAAUCCCUGAGGAACUGGCAAAAUACAAAUUCCAAUUCCGUAGGUCUGGGGUGGGGCCUGAGGUUCUGUUUCUACAAUGCUCCGAGGUGAUGCAGACAUUGACGGUCUCCAAAUUCACUUGAGCAAGGCUGUAAACUACCUAUGUGUGUGUCUGUAUUUUGGGUUGUUCCCAACUUUUUAGUAUUACGAAUGAUGCUGCAGUGAAUCUUUGCCCAUAGAAUUUUCAAUAUUUGUCUAUUUCCUUUACAUAAAUUCCUAAAUGUGUAUCGCUGGGUCAAAGGUAAAGCAUAUUUUAAGGCUUUUGAUACAUAUUGCAAAUAUUUCUUGAAAAAGGUAAAACCAGCUUAUAUCCCCACUAGCAAUAUCUGAGUGCCCGUUUCCUCACACCAUAGUAACGCGUAACUCUUGCCAAUUUGAUAAUCAAACAGGAGUACCUCAUUGUUGUUUCAAUUUGCAUUUCUUUGAUUAAUAGUGAGGCUGAGUAUCUUCCAUAUUUUUAUUGGAAUUUGUGUCUCUUCUUUUGUAAAUUGCCUAUUUGUGUCCAUGCCCCUUUGUCUAUUAGGGUGUUUACUUCUAUUCUUAUUGAUUUGAAACAAGCUUUGGAUUUAACUCUUUGUUACAAAUGUUGAGCAUGGUGUGCUUAAGAAACCACAAGUCGUUUCUUUUUGAAGAUUGGCACCUGAGCUAACAACUGUUGCUAAUUUUUCUUUUUCUCCCGGAAUCCCCCUAGUA
This is a long non-coding RNA of Equus quagga, 1303 nucleotides long. RefSeq lists it as uncharacterized. The transcript has 3 exons. NCBI's taxonomy places the organism in Eukaryota, Metazoa, Chordata, Mammalia, Perissodactyla, Equidae. The record is from RefSeq and is a predicted model, not a curated record.